Molecule: ribosomal RNA, 266 nt
Filed under: Primulina tenuituba
Lineage: Eukaryota; Viridiplantae; Streptophyta; Magnoliopsida; Lamiales; Gesneriaceae
Description: 4.5S ribosomal RNA
Source: RNAcentral
CUACCCUUCCAUCCCUUGGAUAGUAUAGAGAGGGAGGGCAGAGCUUUUGGUUUUUUCAUGUUGUCAAAGAGUUGAACAAUGGUUUUUCGUGUUGUCAAAGAUUUGAACAAUGAAAAUAGAUGGCGAGUGCCUGAUCGAAUUGAUCAGGUCAUGUAGGAACAAGGUUCAAGUCUACCGGUCUGUUAGGAUGCCUCAGCUGCAUACAUCACUGCACUUCCACUUGACACCUAUCGUAAUGAUAAACGGCUCGUCUCGCCGUGACCUUC